RNAcentral lists this ribosomal RNA (279 nucleotides) under uncultured bacterium. RNAcentral describes it as "partial 16S ribosomal RNA". It matches the Rfam family "Bacterial small subunit ribosomal RNA", at positions 506 to 784 of the family's 1533-position model. The record is from RNAcentral.
UGCCAGCCUCCGCUGUACCCCUGGGUGCGCAAUCGUUAUUCGGAAUUAUUGGGCGUAAAGGGCACGCAGGCGGCUAGGCAAGUUGGUGGUGAAAGCCCUCGGCUCAACCGAGGAAUUGCCCCCAAAACUGCUUAGCUUGAGUCCCGGAGAGGGUGACGGAAUUCCCAGUGUAGCGGUGAAAUGCGUAGAUACUGGAAGGAACACCAGUGGCGAAGGCGGUCACCUGGACGGGUACUGACGCUCAUGUGCGAAAGCGUGGGGAGCAAACAGGAUUAGAUA